AACGAACACUGGCGGCGUGGCUUAGGCAUGCAAGUCGAACGUGAAAGUCCCUUCGGGGAUGAGUAAAGUGGCGAACGGGUGAGUAACGCGUGGGAAACCUUCCCUUCGAUGGGGGAUAACAGUUCUAACGAGCUGCUAAUACCGCAUACGACCCUUGGAUCGCAUGGUCCGGGGGUGAAAGGGGCGAUCUCUUCGGAGAGCUCCCGUCGAUGGAUGGUCCCGCGUCCCAUUAGCUAGUUGCGGGGUAAUGGCCCACCAAGGCGACGAUGGGUAGCCGGCCUGAGAGGGUGUCCGGCCACACUGGGACUGAGAUACGGCCCAGACUCCUACGGAGGCAGCAGUCGAGAAGCUUCGGCAAUGGGCGAAAGCCUGACCGAGCGACGCCGCGUGAGCGAAGAAGGCCCUAUGGGUUGUAAAGCUCUGUCAGAUUGGGAAGAAAACCUCGCGGUUAAUACCCGCGAGGCCUGACGGUACCAUCAGAGGAAGCACCGGCAACCCCGUGCCAGCAGCCGCGGUAAU
Molecule: ribosomal RNA, 519 nt
Filed under: uncultured bacterium
Lineage: Bacteria
Description: bacterial SSU rRNA
Rfam family: Bacterial small subunit ribosomal RNA
Source: RNAcentral